AGGGGGCAAGCGUUAUCCGGAUUUACUGGGUGUAAAGGGAGCGUAGACGGCGAGACAAGCCUGAAGUGAAAUGCCAGUGCUCAACACUGGAACUGCUUUGGAAACUGCCUGGCUGGAGUGCGGGAGAGGUAAGUGGAAUUCCUGGUGUAGCGGUGAAAUGCGUAGACAUUAGGAGGAACACCAGUGGCGAAGGCGGCUUACUGGACCGUAACUGGCGUUGAGGCUCGAAGGCGUGGGGAGCAAACAGGAUUAGAUACCCUGGUAGUCCACGCGGUAAACGAUGAUUACUAGGUGUCGGGGAGCGUAAGCUUUCCGGUGCCGCCGCAAACGCAAUAAGUAAUCCACCUGGGGAGUACGUUCGCAAGAAUG
RNAcentral lists this ribosomal RNA (369 nucleotides) under uncultured Eubacteriales bacterium. RNAcentral describes it as "bacterial SSU rRNA". It matches the Rfam family "Bacterial small subunit ribosomal RNA", at positions 529 to 896 of the family's 1533-position model. Lineage: Bacteria; Bacillati; Bacillota; Clostridia; Eubacteriales. The record is from RNAcentral.